This is a non-coding RNA of Eumeta japonica, 111 nucleotides long. NCBI's taxonomy places the organism in Eukaryota, Metazoa, Arthropoda, Insecta, Lepidoptera, Psychidae. The record is from the annotation of a GenBank genome assembly.
ACGUCCAUACCACGCCGAAUACACCGGUUCUCGUCCGAUCACCGAAGUUAAGCAGCGUCGGCCGCGGUCAGUACUUAUAUGGGCAACCACCUUGGGAAUACCGCGUAAUGU